This is a long non-coding RNA of Silurus meridionalis, 858 nucleotides long. RefSeq lists it as uncharacterized. The transcript has 3 exons. The record is from RefSeq and is a predicted model, not a curated record. NCBI's taxonomy places the organism in Eukaryota, Metazoa, Chordata, Actinopteri, Siluriformes, Siluridae.
AACAAACAAACAAAUAAAUACAGAGGAACUGCAGCUGUUUUUCGCGACUAUUCGCAUUAAUGAUUAACAAAAAUCCCAACAGUGGACUUUCUCCUUCCACUUCCCCUCUAAAAUCUUACACACAUUCAGAGAAAAGCUUUAAACUUGAUCAAAUGGUCCAAACUUUGAGAUUUAAAGCAGUAAAAAGAGAAAAAGAAUCGGAUUAAAGGCUCCAGUUUGUUGAUUAGCUCCUGCUGCUAACUACAUUUACGUAGUUACGUAAAGUGCGUAGUGCGGUUUCGGUCGCGUUUACGCAGAAAAAUAAAAACAGUUUAUUUUAUAAUUGUAAUUUGUUUACCUCUAAAAUCGUACAAUGUAUUGAAUAAAACGCCACGAAAGCGGUUUCUGAAGGGGAAAAAGUUUCGAAGUGAAUCCUGGUAUCAGUGUUUAUGAGCAAAAAAACUAAAUAAAGAAUGAAAUGCUUUAUAUUUUGAUGUUUACACCUUAAUUAAAGAACCGAAUUAAUCUUUUGGAUAAUUAUUUCUAUAAUAACACCCACUCGUUUUCUUUCUGAUGAAGGAUUAAAGGAAAGAAGAAGAAAGGAGGAAGGAAGGAAAGACGGAUACAUGUAACAGUAAGAGGAAACAGGAGCUCCAGAGUUACAGAUUGUUGAAGGACACAAAAACUGAGAACUUACAGAGAGAAGGGGCGUUGAGAAAGCUGGAGGAUGAGGUUCCUGGCGGCUCUGAGCGACAGGAACACGAGGUGGAUCUCCAGCGAUGUGAGCAGGUCCACGUGUGCAUUCCUCAAGCAAAACAGAAUGGAUGAGCUGACAGGAAGUUUGUGUUAACUUCAAACAAUCACUCUGUACAAACAUGG